RNAcentral lists this ribosomal RNA (497 nucleotides) under uncultured bacterium. RNAcentral's name for it is "partial 16S ribosomal RNA". It matches the Rfam family "Bacterial small subunit ribosomal RNA", at positions 28 to 507 of the family's 1533-position model. The record is from RNAcentral.
GAUGAACGCUGGCGGCGUGCCUAAUACAUGCAAGUCGAGCGAACGGACGCGAAGCUUGCUUCUCUGAUGUUAGCGGCGGACGGGUGAGUAACACGUGGAUAACCUACCUAUAAGACUGGGAUAACUUCGGGAAACCGUAGCUAAUGCCGGAUAAUAUUUUGAACCGCAUGGUUCAAAAGUGAAAGACGGUCUUGCUGUCACUUAUAGAUGGAUCCGCGCUGCAUUAGCUAGUUGGUAAGGUAACGGCUUACCAAGGCAACGAUGCAUAGCCGACCUGAGAGGGUGGUCGGCCACACUGGAACUGAGACACGGUCCAGACUCCUACGGGAGGCAGCAGUAUGGAAUCUUCCGCAAUGGGCGAAAGCCUGACGGAGCAACGCCGCGUGAGUGAUGAAGGUCUUCGGAUCGUAAAACUCUGUUAGUUGUGAAGAACAUAUGUGUAAGUAACUGUGCACAUCUUGACGGUACCUAAUCAGAAAGCCACGGCUAACUACGUG